This 484-nucleotide ribosomal RNA is filed under the name uncultured bacterium. RNAcentral's name for it is "partial 16S ribosomal RNA". It matches the Rfam family "Bacterial small subunit ribosomal RNA", at positions 28 to 523 of the family's 1533-position model. The record is from RNAcentral.
GACGAACGCUGGCGGCGUGCUUAACACAUGCAAGUCGAACGAUGAAGCCGGAGCUUGCUCUGGUGAAUUAGUGGCGAACGGGUGAGUAACACGUGAGUAACCUGCCCUUGACUCUGGGAUAACUGCUAGAAAUGGUAGCUAAUACCGGAUACGACCCUCGGAGGCAUCUCCAGGGGGUGGAAAGAAUUUCGGUCAAGGAUGGACUCGCGGCCUAUCAGCUAGGUGGUGAGGUAAUGGCUCACCAAGGCGACGAAGGGUAGCCGGCCUGAGAGGGUGACCGGCCACACUGGGACUGAGACACGGCCCAGACUCCUACGGGAGGCAGCAGUGGGGAAUAUUGCACAAUGGGCGCAAGCCUGAUGCAGCAACGCCGCGUGAGGGAUGACGGCCUUCGGGUUGUAAACCUCUUUUAGUAGGGAAGAAGCGAAAGUGACGGUACCUGCAGAAAAAGCACCGGCUAACUACGUGCCAGCAGCCGCGGUAA